Molecule: ribosomal RNA, 801 nt
Filed under: uncultured bacterium
Lineage: Bacteria
Description: bacterial SSU rRNA
Rfam family: Bacterial small subunit ribosomal RNA
Source: RNAcentral
UAUAAUUGUCAGCUAAGUGGCGCACGGGUGAGUAAUGUAUAGAUAACCUGCCCUUAAGAAAGGAAUAACAGUUGGAAACGACUGCUAAUGCCCUAUAUGCCUUUAAUACAUAAGUAUGCAAGGGAAACGCUUUAGUGCUUAAGGAUGGGUCUGUAUGGUAUCAGCUUGUUGGUGAGGUAAUGGCUCACCAAGGCUAUGACGCCUAACUGGUUUGAGAGGAUGAUCAGUCACACUGGAACUGAGACACGGUCCAGACUCCUACGGGAGGCAGCAGUGGGGAAUAUUGCACAAUGGACGAAAGUCUGAUGCAGCAACGCCGCGUGGAGGAUGACACAUUUAGGUGCGUAAACUCCUUUUAUAUAGGAAGAUAAUGACGGUACUAUAUGAAUAAGCACCGGCUAACUCCGUGCCAGCAGCCGCGGUAAUACGGAGGGUGCAAGCGUUACUCGGAAUCACUGGGCGUAAAGAGCGUGUAGGCGGGUAUAUAAGUCAGAAGUGAAAUCCAAUAGCUCAACUAUUGAACUGCUUUUGAAACUGUAUACCUAGAAUGUGGGAGAGGUAGAUGGAAUUUCUGGUGUAGGGGUAAAAUCCGUAGAGAUCAGAAGGAAUACCGAUUGCGAAGGCGAUCUACUGGAACAUUAUUGACGCUGAGACGCGAAAGCGUGGGGAGCAAACAGGAUUAGAUACCCUGGUAGUCCACGCCCUAAACGAUGUACACUAGUUGUUGUGAGGCUCGACCUUGCAGUAAUGCAGUUAACACAUUAAGUGUACCGCCUGGGGAGUACGGUCGCAAGAUUAAAA